AUCCCUGUGGCUCAGUUGGUAGAGCAUGGUGUUUGCAACGCCAGCAUGGUGUGUGCAACGCCAGGGUUGUGGGUUCGAUUCCCACAGGGGGCC
Salmo salar (Atlantic salmon) is the source of this 93-nucleotide non-coding RNA. The record is from Rfam. NCBI's taxonomy places the organism in Eukaryota, Metazoa, Chordata, Actinopteri, Salmoniformes, Salmonidae.